GGAAGGGUGGCUGAGUGGUUGAAAGCGCAUGCCUGGAAAGCAUGUAUGUACUUCGUGUGCAUCGCGGGUUCGAAUCCCGUCCCUUCCUCCA
This 91-nucleotide transfer RNA is filed under the name Candidatus Altimarinota bacterium. Its description in RNAcentral is "tRNA-Ser". It matches the Rfam family "tRNA". From Rfam's summary of the family: Transfer RNA (tRNA) molecules are approximately 80 nucleotides in length. Their secondary structure includes four short double-helical elements and three loops (D, anti-codon, and T loops). The record is from RNAcentral. Lineage: Bacteria; Candidatus Altimarinota.